GACGAACGCUGGCGGCGUGCUUAACACAUGCAAGUCGAACGGAAAGGCCCUGCUUUUGUGGGGUGCUCGAGUGGCGAACGGGUGAGUAACACGUGAGUAACCUGCCCUUGACUUUGGGAUAACUUCAGGAAACUGGGGCUAAUACCGGAUAGGAUCUCCUGCUGCAUGGUGGGGGUUGGAAAGUUUCGGCGGUUGGGGAUGGACUCGCGGCUUAUCAGCUUGUUGGUGGGGUAGUGGCUUACCAAGGCUUUGACGGGUAGCCGGCCUGAGAGGGUGACCGGCCAAAUUGGGACUGAGAUACGGCACAGACUCCAACGGGAGGCAGCAGUGGGGAAUAUUGCACAAUGGGCGGAAGCAUGAUGCAGCAACGCCGCGUGCGGGAUGACGGCCUUCGGGUUGUAAACCGCUUUCGCCUGUGACGAAGCGUGAGUGACGGUAAUGGGUAAAGAAGCACCGGCUAACUACGUG
Molecule: ribosomal RNA, 468 nt
Filed under: uncultured bacterium
Lineage: Bacteria
Description: partial 16S ribosomal RNA
Rfam family: Bacterial small subunit ribosomal RNA
Source: RNAcentral